UAUUUGUCGCAAAAUAAUGGUGAUUAUCUCUUCUACAGUUGAGAUAAGAGAGGGAAUCCGGUGAAAAUCCGGAACAGUACCCGCUACUGUAAGUCCGGGUUUUAAUUGCAACAACAAUUAAAAUCUUUUGUAUCUACACCACUGUUCGACAAAAAUCGAAUGGGAAGGUUACAAAGAAGGACAAGUCAGGAAACCUGCCAUUGCAAUAACUUUUUA
This 216-nucleotide non-coding RNA is filed under the name Saccharicrinis fermentans. Lineage: Bacteria; Pseudomonadati; Bacteroidota; Bacteroidia; Marinilabiliales; Marinilabiliaceae. RNAcentral also lists the same sequence under 1 other name. The record is from RNAcentral.